Molecule: long non-coding RNA, 906 nt
Organism: Mauremys reevesii (Reeves's turtle)
Lineage: Eukaryota; Metazoa; Chordata; Testudines; Geoemydidae
Exons: 3
Source: RefSeq, a predicted model, not a curated record
CUGAAAGACAAGGUUAUGGGCCGGACUGCCAUUCCCAAAGAAACAUCCAGGAGGCAGAGCGGCAUGGAGGCAAAACAAAGCAAAGCCCCGUAGCCCCGAACUACUGCAUCAACAAUAAUAUGUUGUGGAUCUUCCAGAACCCGGCUCAGAGUGUGAGUCCCUAGAAGGGAAAACGAAGCCCUGAGACGAUACAGGUUUAACCAUCACAAAGCCUUCACACCAUACAACACUGAACACACAAUGCAGCGUGGCCACUGACUCCACUGCCUUUUACGCAGGAGGGAGGACAGUGGCAGAUUCGUUCUGCAGCAAGGCUCUGGCAGGGCGUCAGCAGGAUCAUUGCAGAAGUGCAAAAUUCAUUGUGGAGAAAGGGGAGGCUGGAGGAAACAGAGGGUCCAGUAUGAGAGCUGCUCCACGCUGCAUCUUUUGAGUGCUUCGUGUUGGGGCGGGGGGGCCGUUGAAAGUGGCUGUGAGACAAAGAAAGUCAGUAGAAGAUGUUAAUACACUCUUGGCAGGGGCACAAAAGAGUGUAUUAAUGGGGCUAUCUGCUCGCUUCCAGUUCUCCCUCUCUUCUGGCUGUUAUGGAAAUAUUUGGCUUGCAUCUCUCUCUAUCUGACAGCUUUGCUGACUCUUAAGGAAUGAAAACCUCGGGAGGCUGGGAGACUUUCCACUCCUCCCUUUCUUUUCUGGUUGCUUUAAAAUUCUUGGUAAUAGCCAGCCACCGUGAGACAAGGCCCCUCCGACGGCGCUCCCUGGGCUAGAGUGAGGUGACGCGACUCAGCGCGGCGGACAACGGUCCCAUUCACUGGAGAAAUACCACAGCAGAAUCACAAGUGCGCGAGAAUAAACAAGGCUGGAGUUAAUCUAAAGUUGUUUUACACUCUGUUUUAUUAAAGUCAAUGCAUU